AACGAACGCUGGCGGCAUGCCUAACACAUGCAAGUCGAACGGGACCUUCGGGUCUAGUGGCGCACGGGUGCGUAACGCGUCGGAACCUGCCCUUAGGUUCGGAAUAACUCCCCGACAGGGGUGCUAAUGCCGGGUAAUGUCUUCGAACACAAGAUUGAUCGCGUUUGUGUGGGCCGGCGUUGGUUUAGCUUGUUGGUAGUGUAAAAGCCUAUCAAGGCUACGCUCGAUAGCUGGGCUGAGAGGCAGAUCAGCGACACUGAGACUAGGACGCGGCCCAGACUACUACGCGAGGGAGGAGUGGCUAAUAUAGCACAAUGGGGUAAAGCCUGAUCCAGUAAUGCCGGGUGAGCGAUGAAGGCCGUAGGGAAGUAAAGCUCUUUUACCCGGGACGAUAAUGACAGUACCGGGAGAAUAAGCUCCGGCUAACUCCGUG
This 433-nucleotide ribosomal RNA is filed under the name uncultured bacterium. RNAcentral describes it as "partial 16S ribosomal RNA". It matches the Rfam family "Bacterial small subunit ribosomal RNA", at positions 29 to 507 of the family's 1533-position model. The record is from RNAcentral.